This 400-nucleotide ribosomal RNA is filed under the name uncultured bacterium. Its description in RNAcentral is "bacterial SSU rRNA". It matches the Rfam family "Bacterial small subunit ribosomal RNA", at positions 355 to 772 of the family's 1533-position model. The record is from RNAcentral.
UGGGGAAUAUUGCACAAUGGGGGAAACCCUGAUGCAGCGACGCCGCGUGAGUGAAGAAGUAUUUCGGUAUGUAAAGCUCUAUCAGCAGGGAAGAACAUGACGGUACCUGACUAAGAAGCCCCGGCUAACUACGUGCCAGCAGCCGCGGUAAUACGUAGGGGGCAAGCGUUAUCCGGAUUUACUGGGUGUAAAGGGAGCGUAGACGGCAGCGCAAGCCUGGAGUGAAAGGAUGGGGCUCAACCCCAUGACUGCUCUGGGAACUGCGCAGCUAGAGUGCCGGAGGGGCAAGCGGAAUUCCUAGUGUAGCGGUGAAAUGCGUAGAUAUUAGGAGGAACACCAGUGGCGAAGGCGGCUUGCUGGACGGUAACUGACGUUGAGGCUCGAAAGCGUGGGGAGCAAA